Molecule: ribosomal RNA, 564 nt
Filed under: uncultured Glomeromycotina
Lineage: Eukaryota; Fungi; Glomeromycota
Description: SSU rRNA
Rfam family: Eukaryotic small subunit ribosomal RNA
Source: RNAcentral
UGGAGGGCAAGUCUGGUGCCAGCAGCCGCGGUAAUUCCAGCUCCAAUAGCGUAUAUUAAAGUUGUUGCAGUUAAAAAGCUCGUAGUUGAAUUUCGGGGUUAGUAGGUUGGUCGUGCCUCAGGUAUGUACUGAUCUCACUGAUUCCUCCUUCCUGAUGAACCGUAAUGCCAUUAAUUUGGUGUUGCGGGGAAACUGGACUGUUACUUUGAAAAAAUUAGAGUGUUUAAAGCAGGCUAACGCUUGAAUACAUUAGCAUGGAAUAAUGAAAUAGGACGUUCGAUCCUAUUUUGUUGGUUUCUAGGAUUGACGUAAUGAUUAAUAGGGAUAGUUGGGGACAUUAGUAUUCAAUUGUCAGAGGUGAAAUUCUUGGAUUUAUUGAAGACUAACUACUGCGAAAGCAUUUGCCAAGGAUGUUUUCAUUAAUCAAGAACGAAAGUUAGGGGAUCGAAGACGAUCAGAUACCGUCGUAGUCUUAACCAUAAACUAUGCCGACUAGGGAUCGGAUGAUGUUAAUUUUUUAAUGACUCAUUCGGCGCCUUACGGGAAACCAAAGUGUUUGGGUUC